This 643-nucleotide ribosomal RNA is filed under the name Bacillus sp. (in: firmicutes). RNAcentral describes it as "bacterial SSU rRNA". It matches the Rfam family "Bacterial small subunit ribosomal RNA", at positions 36 to 662 of the family's 1533-position model. The record is from RNAcentral. Lineage: Bacteria; Bacillati; Bacillota; Bacilli; Caryophanales; Bacillaceae.
CUGGCGGCGUGCCUAUACAUGCAAGUCGAGCGGACAGAUGGGAGCUUGCUCCCUGAUGUUAGCGGCGGACGGGUGAGUAACACGUGGGUAACCUGCCUGUAAGACUGGGAUAACUCCGGGAAACCGGGGCUAAUACCGGAUGCUUGUUUGAACCGCAUGGUUCAAGCAUAAAAGGUGGCUUCGGCUACCACUUACAGAUGGACCCGCGGCGCAUUAGCUAGUUGGUGAGGUAAUGGCUCACCAAGGCAACGAUGCGUAGCCGACCUGAGAGGGUGAUCGGCCACACUGGGACUGAGACACGGCCCAGACUCCUACGGGAGGCAGCAGUAGGGAAUCUUCCGCAAUGGACGAAAGUCUGACGGAGCAACGCCGCGUGAGUGAUGAAGGUUUUCGGAUCGUAAAGCUCUGUUGUUAGGGAAGAACAAGUACCGUUCGAAUAGGGCGGUACCUUGACGGUACCUAACCAGAAAGCCACGGCUAACUACGUGCCAGCAGCCGCGGUAAUACGUAGGUGGCAAGCGUUGUCCGGAAUUAUUGGGCGUAAAGGGCUCGCAGGCGGUUUCUUAAGUCUGAUGUGAAAGCCCCCGGCUCAACCGGGGAGGGUCAUUGGAAACUGGGGAACUUGAGUGCAGAAGAGGAGAGU